Molecule: ribosomal RNA, 416 nt
Filed under: Mycoplasma wenyonii
Lineage: Bacteria; Bacillati; Mycoplasmatota; Mollicutes; Mycoplasmatales; Mycoplasmataceae
Description: bacterial SSU rRNA
Rfam family: Bacterial small subunit ribosomal RNA
Source: RNAcentral
CGAACGAGUGGAACUUGUUCUGCUAGUGGCAAACGGGCGAGUAAUACAUAUUUAACUUACUUUUACGAGGAGGAUAGCAGUUCGAAAGGACUAUUAAUACUCCAUAGGUUUAUAAACUAAAUCAAAGAGGCUCCCUCGGGGGCCUCGCGUGAAAAUAGGAAUAUGUCCUAUUAGGUAGUUGGCGGGGUAAAGGCCCACCAAGCCAGUGAUGGGUAGCUGGACUGAGAGGUUGAACAGCCGCAAUGGGAUUGAGAUAUGGCCCAUAUUCCUACGGGAAGCAGCAGUGAGGAAUUUUUCACAAUGGACGAAAGUCUGAUGGAGCAAUACCACGUGAACGAUGAAGGUCUUCUGAUUGUAAAGUUCUUUUAUUUAGGAAAAAAAGCGCGCUAGGAAAUGAGCACGCCUUGAUGGUACUA